AGUGAACGCUGGCGGUAGGCCUAACACAUGCAAGUCGAACGGCAGCACAGUAAGAGCUUGCUCUUACGGGUGGCGAGUGGCGGACGGGUGAGGAAUACAUCGGAAUCUACUUUUUCGUGGGGGCUAACGUAGGGAAACUUACGCUAAUACCGCAUACGACCUCCGGGUGAAAGCAGGGGAUCUUCGGACCUUGCGCGAUUGAAUGAGCCGAUGUCGGAUUAGCUAGUUGGCGGGGUAAAGGCCCACCAAGGCGACGAUCCGUAGCUGGUCUGAGAGGAUGAUCAGCCACACUGGAACUGAGACACGGUCCAGACUCCUACGGGAGGCAGCAGUGGGGAAUAUUGGACAAUGGGCGCAAGCAUGAUCCAGCCAUACCGCGUGGGUGAAGAAGGCCUUCGGGUUGUAAAGCCCUUUUGUUGGGAAAGAAAAGCAGCAGGUUAAUACCCCGCUGUUCUGACGGUACCCAAAGAAUAAGCACCGGCUAACUUCGUG
Molecule: ribosomal RNA, 492 nt
Filed under: uncultured bacterium
Lineage: Bacteria
Description: partial 16S ribosomal RNA
Rfam family: Bacterial small subunit ribosomal RNA
Source: RNAcentral